UGGGGAAUAUUGGACAAUGGGCGAAAGCCUGAUCCAGCCAUGCCGCGUGUGUGAAGAAGGCCUUUUGGUUGUAAAGUUCUUUCGGUAUUGAGGAAGGUUGAUGUGUUAAUAGCACAUCAAAUUGACGUUAAAUACAGAAGAAGCACCGGCUAACUCCGUGCCAGCAGCCGCGGUAAUACGGAGGGUGCGAGCGUUAAUCGGAAUAACUGGGCGUAAAGGGCACGCAGGCGGUUAUUUAAGUGAGGUGUGAAAGCCCUGGGCUUAACCUAGGAAUUGCAUUUCAGACUGGGUAACUAGAGUACUUUAGGGAGGGGUAGAAUUCCACGUGUAGCGGUGAAAUGCGUAGAGAUGUGGAGGAAUACCGAAGGCGAAGGCAGCCCCUUGGGAAUGUACUGACGCUCAUGUGCGAAAGCGUGGGGAGCAAACAGGAUUAGAUACCCUGGUAGUCCACGCUGUAAACGCUGUCGAUUUGGGGGUUGGGGUUUAACUCUGGCGCCCGUAGCUAACGUGAUAAAUCGACCGCCUGGGGAGUACGGCCGCAAGGUUA
This 547-nucleotide ribosomal RNA is filed under the name uncultured bacterium. Its description in RNAcentral is "bacterial SSU rRNA". It matches the Rfam family "Bacterial small subunit ribosomal RNA", at positions 355 to 896 of the family's 1533-position model. The record is from RNAcentral.